GCUCCCGUAGCUCAGUCGGAUCAGAGCAACGGCCUUCUAAGCCGUGGGUCGCAGGUUCGAGUCCUGCCGGGAGCG
RNAcentral lists this transfer RNA (75 nucleotides) under Acidobacteriota bacterium. Its description in RNAcentral is "Acidobacteria bacterium tRNA-Arg". It matches the Rfam family "tRNA". Rfam says of the family: Transfer RNA (tRNA) molecules are approximately 80 nucleotides in length. The record is from RNAcentral. Lineage: Bacteria; Pseudomonadati; Acidobacteriota.